RNAcentral lists this ribosomal RNA (467 nucleotides) under uncultured bacterium. RNAcentral's name for it is "partial 16S ribosomal RNA". It matches the Rfam family "Bacterial small subunit ribosomal RNA", at positions 28 to 507 of the family's 1533-position model. The record is from RNAcentral.
GACGAACGCUGGCGGCGUGCUUAACACAUGCAAGUCGAACGGAAAGGCCCUGCUUUUGUGGGGUGCUCGAGUGGCGAACGGGUGAGUAACACGUGAGUAACCUGCCCUUGACUUUGGGAUAACUUCAGGAAACUGGGGCUAAUACCGGAUAGGAGCUCCUGCUGCAUGGUGGGGGAUGGAAAGUUUCGGUGGUUGGGGAUGGACUCGCGGCUUAUCAGCUUGCUGGGGGGGUAGGGGCUUACCAAGGAUUUGGAGGGUAGCCGGCCGGGGAGGGUGAGCGGCCGGCUAGAGUGGGAGUGAGACCCGGCCCACACUCGGGAGGGAGGAGGGGGGAGGUAAGAAUGAAGGGCGGAGGCAACUCUGAGGAAGCCCGGGGGCGGGAGUGAAGAAGUCAGUUGUUAAGCCACUUUCGCUUAGCAGGGAAGAUAGUGACGGUAAAUGGCUAAGAAGCCCCGGCUAAAUACGUG